AUUUACCGUGGAAAACUCCUUGCUCAAGGAAGUAAAAAACCACGACCUACACUGCAUAGGAUUUCACCACAAAUCUCCACUAAUUUCAACGAGCUUUGUUCAAGAUUACUACCUCGUAAUCCCAGAACCUAACUCUUAAUUCACAACUCCACAAUUUACUCCAACUGUUCUACCCACUAUAUGAGUACUCUAAGAAGUCAAACCCGUUUCUUGUUACAACACCACACAAACAAGAAGUCAAACCCGCUUCUUGUUACAACACCCCA
This 266-nucleotide long non-coding RNA is filed under the name Capsicum annuum. RNAcentral describes it as "long non-coding RNA (CANN_LNC013988)". The record is from RNAcentral. Lineage: Eukaryota; Viridiplantae; Streptophyta; Magnoliopsida; Solanales; Solanaceae.